GAGUGAAGAGGGACAAGCUCAAAUUUUAAAUCUGUUCGGUUCUACCUGACAGAGUUGUAAUUUAAAGAAACGUUUUCUGUGUUUGAGUUAAUCAAAAUCCUUUGGAAUGAGGUAUCAUGGAGGGUGACAAUCCCGUUCAUGGUUAAUUCUAAGAUGCUUUAUGAUGCGUUUUCGAAGAGUCGAGUUGUUUGGGAUUGCAGCUCAAAAUGGGAGGUAAAUUUCUCCUAAGGCUAAAUAUUGGCGAGAGACCGAUAGCGAACAAGUACCGUGAGGGAAAGAUGAAAAGAACUUUGAAAAGAGAGUUAAACAGUACGUGAAAUUGUUGAAAGGGAAACGAUUGAAGUCAGUCGUACCAGCGGGAAAUCAACCUUUCGAGUGGGGUUUUGGAGUUUUGAAGUGUGUUAAAACCUUUGAGAUUUCAAUGUUUUCGCUCUUUUGGUGUACUUUCUCGCAGGUAGGUUAACAUCGAUUUUGAUCAUCAUAAAAGGAUUGGAGGAAUGUAGCUUCGAUCUUGUAUUGAAGUGUUAUAGCCUUUGGUAAACGUGAUGAUUAGGAUCGAGGAUUGCAACGAAUACCCUUUUGGGCUAUCCGCCUGAUCUCUGAUACGUGGCCUUGGUAUCGAAAGCGUGCUUAUGGUAUUAAGGUAUUACGGUCAAAAGGUUAGAACGGAUUAAAUUCGUUA
This 682-nucleotide ribosomal RNA is filed under the name uncultured Glomeromycotina. Its description in RNAcentral is "eukaryotic LSU rRNA". It matches the Rfam family "Eukaryotic large subunit ribosomal RNA", at positions 91 to 618 of the family's 3401-position model. Lineage: Eukaryota; Fungi; Glomeromycota. The record is from RNAcentral.